Molecule: ribosomal RNA, 410 nt
Filed under: uncultured Methylomirabilota bacterium
Lineage: Bacteria; Methylomirabilota (SeqCode)
Description: bacterial SSU rRNA
Rfam family: Bacterial small subunit ribosomal RNA
Source: RNAcentral
AGCGUGGAGACAGGUGGUGCAUGGCUGUCGUCAGCUCGUGUCGUGAGAUGUUGGGUUAAGUCCCGCAACGAGCGCAACCCUCACCCCUUGUUGCCAACAGGUCAGGCUGGGCACUCUAGGGGAACUGCCCCGGUCAACGGGGAGGAAGGUGGGGAUGACGUCAAGUCAUCAUGCCCCUUACGUCCUGGGCUACACACGUGCUACAAUGGCCGGUACAAAGGGAUGCCACACCGCGAGGUAGAGCUAAACCCAAAAAGCCGGUCUAAGUUCAGAUUGGAGUCUGCAACUCGACUCCAUGAAGGAGGAAUCGCUAGUAAUCGCGUAUCAGCACGACGCGGUGAAUACGUUCCCGGGCCUUGUACACACCGCCCGUCACACCACGAAAGCCAGCUGUACUCGAAGUCGCUGAG